This 73-nucleotide transfer RNA is filed under the name Bos taurus (domestic cattle). It matches the Rfam family "tRNA". From Rfam's summary of the family: Transfer RNA (tRNA) molecules are approximately 80 nucleotides in length. Their secondary structure includes four short double-helical elements and three loops (D, anti-codon, and T loops). Further hydrogen bonds mediate the characteristic L-shaped molecular structure. tRNAs have two regions of fundamental functional importance: the anti-codon, which is responsible for specific mRNA codon recognition, and the 3' end, to which the tRNAs corresponding amino acid is attached (by aminoacyl-tRNA synthetases). tRNAs cope with the degeneracy of the genetic code in two manners: having more than one tRNA (with a specific anti-codon) for a particular amino acid; and 'wobble' base-pairing, i.e. permitting non-standard base-pairing at the 3rd anti-codon position. Lineage: Eukaryota; Metazoa; Chordata; Mammalia; Artiodactyla; Bovidae. RNAcentral also lists the same sequence under 2 other names. The record is from Rfam by way of RNAcentral.
UCCCUGGCAGUCCAGUGGUUAAGACUCUGCACUUCCAAUGCAGGGGGUGCAGGUUCAAUUUCUGGUCAAGGAA